CAGCUCACGGUUUUGAAGAAAACCGAAGAGUGUGAUCGACAGUACGUGCUGCCCUUGCCGUGGUGUGGACACAGAGUUCAAGCUUAGACGAGGAGCAGACACUGACGUCACACUUCUGACAGAUUCUUCAUGGACUAGGCAAAAGUUGAGGAAAGCGACCAACACAGCAGUGGACAUUUUCAAAAAGGUAAAUGAAGAAUUCAGAGCCCAAACCGAAGUUUAAGCCAAGAUGCAAAAAAAGAAAAAAAAGAUCAAAGAGCCUGGGACAGAAUCCUGGCAACAGUGAACCCAGGAGCAUGGGCCCUCAGGUUGCCCUUAGAUUUCAGGAUCUCUUCCAGCACAUUCAUAGGCAGAUGGAGGGCCACGCCCACGAACCCCUCUACCCGCACCAUCUCUACCCUGAGGAGUUGCUCUUCCUUCUCCAACUUCUUUACCUAGUAUAAGUGGUAAACCAUCAUCACCACUAUCACCUUUGUUGGAGGACCUCCUCCUCCAAAAUCACCACUUGCUGGGUCUUAUGGAAUAAA
Molecule: long non-coding RNA, 527 nt
Organism: Mirounga angustirostris (Northern elephant seal)
Lineage: Eukaryota; Metazoa; Chordata; Mammalia; Carnivora; Phocidae
Exons: 4
Source: RefSeq, a predicted model, not a curated record